Molecule: long non-coding RNA, 91 nt
Organism: Thalassophryne amazonica
Lineage: Eukaryota; Metazoa; Chordata; Actinopteri; Batrachoidiformes; Batrachoididae
Exons: 4
Source: RefSeq, a predicted model, not a curated record
AAAUACACACUUAACUCUGCGGUCACAUUAGCUACAAGCGACAGAAGCAAAGCGAUGACUUGCCGUUCGUUUUCAAUCAGGGCGGGCGUUU